Molecule: transfer RNA, 67 nt
Filed under: Menida lata
Lineage: Eukaryota; Metazoa; Arthropoda; Insecta; Hemiptera; Pentatomidae
Description: tRNA-Ile
Source: RNAcentral
AAUAAGAUGCCUGAAAUAAAAGGACUAUUUUGAUAGAAUAGACAAUGUAAAUUUUUUACUCUUAUUA